AGCUUUCAGCAGUGGCGGUACCAUAGCCAAUGAGGUUUACCUGAGGCAUGAUUAUUGCUAAUUGAAAUUUUCCCAAUAGCUUGCCAUGACAACUUGAAAUAUAGUUGGCAUCGAGAAUUUUUGAGACUCUCCACAGAGG
This is a small nuclear RNA of Rhinopithecus bieti (black snub-nosed monkey), 139 nucleotides long. Its record names the gene U4. It matches the Rfam family "U4 spliceosomal RNA". From Rfam's summary of the family: U4 small nuclear RNA (U4 snRNA) is a component of the major U2-dependent spliceosome. The structure of U4 snRNA from yeast and human has been reported. U4 snRNA presents a k-turn RNA motif in the 5p-SL related to recognition of Snu13 protein. Lineage: Eukaryota; Metazoa; Chordata; Mammalia; Primates; Cercopithecidae. The record is from Ensembl.